This 221-nucleotide ribosomal RNA is filed under the name uncultured Thermus sp. RNAcentral describes it as "partial 16S ribosomal RNA". It matches the Rfam family "Bacterial small subunit ribosomal RNA", at positions 1163 to 1382 of the family's 1533-position model. Lineage: Bacteria; Thermotogati; Deinococcota; Deinococci; Thermales; Thermaceae. The record is from RNAcentral.
CGGGAGGAAGGAGGGGACGACGUCUGGUCAGCACGGCCCUUACGGCCUGGGCGACACACGUGCUACAAUGCCCACUACAAAGCGAUGCCACCCGGCAACGGGGAGCUAAUCGCAAAAAGGUGGGCCCAGUUCGGAUUGGGGUCUGCAACCCGACCCCAUGAAGCCGGAAUCGCUAGUAAUCGCGGAUCAGCCAUGCCGCGGUGAAUACGUUCCCGGGCCUU